Small nucleolar RNA from Nannospalax galili (Upper Galilee mountains blind mole rat), 101 nucleotides. RefSeq annotates it as small nucleolar RNA U13. The record is from RefSeq and is a predicted model, not a curated record. NCBI's taxonomy places the organism in Eukaryota, Metazoa, Chordata, Mammalia, Rodentia, Spalacidae. The transcript has a single exon.
AUCUUUUUUGGUUCACAAGCAUGAUGAUUGGGUCUUCAUGCUGUUGCAUGCAUGUACUGACCUCAAACCUUGUUAUGCAUCCACGUAUCACCCAUCAGAAG